CUCCUGGUUCAGUCACACCUGGUUUUUUUUGUUGUUUUUCAGGCUCUGAGUGUUCUGCUCCUGGCUGAAAAACCACCUUGCAAUAACCAGGAUGUGAUGGGAAGGGCAGAGCUCUUGGGCAGAGCAAGAGGCUGAAAAGUUCGGGUUAACAGGGAAAAUUAAUCCAGUAUUUUUACAAAUUUUCAACUUUUCACUCCUCCUGUGCCAGACCUACUGUGUGAAGUCAUCUCUGGAUGCAGGUAAUUCACCCACCCAGCCUGAGAGCCUCGAGUCAAAUAUAAACAUCAGAGUGCCACAGCUCCUUCCAGGACUGAGGUGUGUGCUGCUUUUCAGUGCCGUUGCUGAUUUACAAGCACUAAGCAAGUUUUCAACUGAAAAAAAAAAGGAAAAGAAAAGCCCAAAACCACACCAAAUUACUUUUCAACAAUGGCUUGCUUUUCUACAUCUUCUAAUUUAAUGUUUGAGCAAAGUUGCAAUCAGAAAAUGGAAUUACUAUCCUGAACUGAGAAAGAUAAAAUCAAUACUUGUAACAGUUAU
Zonotrichia albicollis (white-throated sparrow) is the source of this 537-nucleotide long non-coding RNA. Lineage: Eukaryota; Metazoa; Chordata; Aves; Passeriformes; Passerellidae. The record is from Ensembl.